AGUCUUAUAUUCAAAAUGAUAUGAUAUAAAAUUGCAAAUUUUAAGGUAUAAUAUAAAAUUAUUAAGGCUU
RNAcentral lists this transfer RNA (70 nucleotides) under Prophantis adusta. RNAcentral's name for it is "tRNA-Cys". Lineage: Eukaryota; Metazoa; Arthropoda; Insecta; Lepidoptera; Crambidae. The record is from RNAcentral.